Non-coding RNA from Schizosaccharomyces pombe (fission yeast), 917 nucleotides. The record is from the annotation of a GenBank genome assembly. Lineage: Eukaryota; Fungi; Ascomycota; Schizosaccharomycetes; Schizosaccharomycetales; Schizosaccharomycetaceae.
AAGCACGUUACACGAAUAUCUACUUCUCUCGGUUUCAUCAUCAUGGCAGGGUACGACAGGAUAGCAGUAAGAGGUGAGCUCACAUAUAAAAUGUACACCCAGGCGACGAUGAAGAAGUUUAUCAUUCUUCGACAAUUCGGGUAUGUUUUCCUUGUCCUCCACUUGGUUGCUUAUAUUGUCGACCUGGUGUAUUAUUUGAAGGGAUUCAAUGGUUUUUUCUUUAUAAUGUGGAUGGUGAUCGGUUUUGCUUAUUUAAUAUUCAUUAUAACAGCAAUCGUUCUUCUCACAAAUACUCCUUCGCCAAAGCCACGUUUUGACUUACCUAAAGUUUUUAACCUACGACCUGACCAUGCCCAAUAAUUCAUCAAACAAUCCUCCAUAAUAUUCUUCGCCCUCGGCUGGACCGAUUAGGACAAGUGAGAGGAUACAAGCUAAUCGAUUGGUUUCGGUUGGUAAACGUUUCAUUCAAUGGAAACGUCGCGCCAUCAUUUCUUUAAUAGUUUUGUUGAAUGUACAUCUGAUUUUUGUAGACAAUAUCUUUUUUUCCGCUUUACUAAGCAAAAACAAAGUACUAAAGUAAUUGAUUAACAAGUUUUGGAUUUCGUUAACGCAUGUUUUCUCCGUAAAUAACUCGAGUAAGAAGAUAAUUCGGGCUUACGUCGUACGUGUGAUAAAUGACUGUAUACAAUCUGAAAAUUAAUAUUAUAAAACAUCCAAAACAAAAUAGGAUUAAAAGAAAACGAGCACUCUAGUACAUGCUAUUCAAACGAAUACUACGAAUCUCUUGUUCUUGACGUUUGCGAAUAGCCUCUUGAACGUGGAGUGGACAACUCGCAUAAACGGAGGGAGGGAUAUUUGCAAUAGACACCUGUGGAGCCACAUCCGAGUUAAGAGCAACGAGAAUAUCCAAUUUAGGU